GACGAACGCUGGCGGCGUGCCUAAUACAUGCAAGUUGAGCGAUGAAGAUUGGUGCUUGCCCCAAUUUGAAGAGCAGCGAACGGGUGAGUAACGCGUGGGGAAUCUGCCUUUGAGCGGGGGACAACAUUUGGAAACGAAUGCUAAUACCGCAUAACAACUUUAAACAUAAGUUUUAAGUUUGAAAGAUGCAAUUGCAUCACUCAAAGAUGAUCCCGCGUUGUAUUAGCUAGUUGGUGAGGUAAAGGCUCACCAAGGCGAUGAUACAUAGCCGACCUGAGGGGGUGAUCGGCCACAUUGGGACUGAGACACGGCCCAAACUCCUACGGGAGGCAGCAGUAGGGAAUCUUCGGCAAUGGACGAAAGUCUGACCGAGCAACGCCGCGGGAGUGAAGAAGGUUUUCGGAUCGUAAAACUCUGUUGGUAGAGAAGAACGUUGGUGAGAGUGGAAAGCUCAUCAAGUGACGGUAACUACCCAGAAAGGGACGGCUAACUACGUG
This 497-nucleotide ribosomal RNA is filed under the name uncultured bacterium. Its description in RNAcentral is "partial 16S ribosomal RNA". It matches the Rfam family "Bacterial small subunit ribosomal RNA", at positions 28 to 507 of the family's 1533-position model. The record is from RNAcentral.